CCUUAGAUGUUCUGGGCCGCACGCGCGCUACACUGACGGAGCCAGCGAGUACUUCCUUGUCCGAAAGGUCCGGGUAAUCUUGUUAAACUCCGUCGUGCUGGGGAUAGAGCAUUGCAAUUAUUGCUCUUCAACGAGGAAUCCCUAGUAAGCGCAAGUCAUCAGCUUGCGUUGAUUACGUCCCUGCCCUUUGUACACACCGCCCGUCGCUACUACCGAUUGAAUGGCUCAGUGAGGCGUCCGGACUGGCCCAGAGAGGUGGGCAACUACCACUCAGGGCCGGAAAGUUCUCCAAACUCGGUCAUUUAGAGGAAGUAAAAGUCGUAACAAGGUCUCCGUUGGUGAACCAGCGGAGGGAUCAUUA
RNAcentral lists this ribosomal RNA (361 nucleotides) under Fusarium lateritium. RNAcentral describes it as "SSU rRNA". It matches the Rfam family "Eukaryotic small subunit ribosomal RNA", at positions 1471 to 1831 of the family's 1831-position model. Lineage: Eukaryota; Fungi; Ascomycota; Sordariomycetes; Hypocreales; Nectriaceae. The record is from RNAcentral.